GGACGGAAGUCACGGUGCGCCUCCGUGUCUCGUCGCAGCCCACCACCUGCCCUCUGCCCGCUGUCCGCCUCCCGCCCCAGAUCUCCACCUCCCCCCACCUCCGUCCGCUCCGACUGGAGCAGUGGCCUGUGGAGCAGAGAGAGUGUGGGCGGGGCACGAAAUGGCGGCGCUUUCUGGCUGCGCCCUGCUGCUCGCGGCGGCGCUGCUCCUCUCCGCGCCGGCCGCCACAGGUGCGGCUCCCCUCCUCCGUCCUCUGAUUCGGUUCUGCUCGCGCGCGUGCGGAUGGGUGGGUGGAUGCCUGCUGCCCCCGUCUCGUCGGUCCUGUCGGUGUCUGUCCCGCUGGGUUACCAAUUCAGCUCGUUUCUUGCACGCUGCUGCUGUCUUGAGCUUCAAGCUUGCUUCCACACUAUCUUGAGCUUCAAGCUUCAAGCUGACUCUUAAGUGGAUUGGUUAGUUAGUAAAAACAUCCUUGCGCCGAGCUCUGAUCUGUUCACAGCUGAAGCGAAAUACACUAGUAGUUAGUUAGUAAAAACAUCUCAGUCAAGUGUGUCUGCUGUGCUGCUAGAUUAAAACAACUUGAGCCGCACUGUAGAAUAGAUAGACCCUGCUACUACUGUCUUGAGCUUCAAGCUGAUUCUUAAGCGAAUUAGUUGGUUGAAACAUCCUCGCGCCGAUGUGUUCGCAACUGAAGUGAAUUACAGACAGUUACUUAGUUAGUUAGCUAGAACGUCUCAGUCAACUGCGUUUGUUGUGCUGGUAAAAAGAACCUGAUUUGCAGGAUACAUUCCUGCAGAUUGGAACAAGCAUGUGUUCGUUGUGCAUCUGACGUGCCAAUUAACCCUCUUACUUCCUUCUUGUUCUCGCAGAGGCGUACGAUUCGCUAGAUCCGAACGGGAACAUCACCAUAAAAUGGGAUCUUAAAGAGUGGACUCCUGAUGGUUAUGUUGUGAGUAGCACUUCAACAUCUGUCUGUCUCUCAUCCCAAACUAUGAAUUAGGCCAGCAUUGAUUUUUACCGAGGUUUUGAUGACCUCAACAAGUAAGUAGCAUGGCCAGUGACCGGCUACAUACAAACAAACUCUGCUACAAGCAAUAUAUAUAGUGGACUACUCGACUCAAAAGUGAUUGUGCAUUCAUAUCUGCUCACCCUGUACCUGUGUGUGUCAUGAUUUUCUUCUUCUUCCAAACUUGUCAUGCACAGGCAAUGGUCACAAUAUACAACUACCAGCAGUUCCGGCACAUAUCUGCGCCCG
RNAcentral lists this long non-coding RNA (1252 nucleotides) under Triticum aestivum (bread wheat). RNAcentral describes it as "long non-coding RNA (TAES_LNC010903)". Lineage: Eukaryota; Viridiplantae; Streptophyta; Magnoliopsida; Poales; Poaceae. The record is from RNAcentral.